This is a long non-coding RNA of Cyprinus carpio (common carp), 639 nucleotides long. RefSeq lists it as uncharacterized. The record is from RefSeq and is a predicted model, not a curated record. The transcript has 3 exons. NCBI's taxonomy places the organism in Eukaryota, Metazoa, Chordata, Actinopteri, Cypriniformes, Cyprinidae.
CUCUCUCUGACUGGUACACAGGACGACACAGGACCACAGACUGAGGCUGUUUAUCACGAGAUUCAUCACAGACAGCAUCACUUUCACUCAGAGGGAGGAAGAUCAGGAGGAGGAUGAUGAUGUGAAGAACACAAUGAAGAUGAGAGAAACCUAGACUAUGACGGUGUGGGGGAGGAGUCAUAUAAAGAGGGAGGGGCCAUAUGACUCAAUGACCACACCCACUAUUUCUGUUCAUGAAAUCAUAUUACAGUUACCGGAGCUACUGGGACUUUCUUAUAUUGCUAAUAAUGCAUCAAUGUGUUUUUAUGUUAUUUCAUUUUUUUAUGCUUUGCAAAAUUUGGUAACAAUGAAUGUUAGUAUUUGUGCAUUUCAGUAUUUAGCUUAUUAUUUUUUGUACUGAUAUUAAUGCUUUUUUACCUAAUGAACAAAUAAGCAAAUUAUAUUAUUCAUUCAGUCUAUUUACCGCGUUUUUAAAGAGCAGUUAAAGCAAAACUAGACUGCAGAGAUUUAUUGCACACUUCAUGUAAAAUGUGAUUUAAAAAAACAUUUCAAACAUACAUUUAUACACCUGUCCCAAUUGCAGAGUUUACUGUGUGAUGGUGUACUUCAACUACUUCAGCUUUAAAAUGCUUUAAAUGA